This 77-nucleotide transfer RNA is filed under the name Gynaephora jiuzhiensis. RNAcentral describes it as "tRNA-Trp". The record is from RNAcentral. Lineage: Eukaryota; Metazoa; Arthropoda; Insecta; Lepidoptera; Erebidae.
AAGGUUUUAAGUUAAUAUAAACAAAUAAUCUUCAAAAUUAUAUAUAAAGAAAUUAUUUAAUUAUUCUUUAAGCCUUA